UUGUCGAGCCAGGGGUGCAUUUUGCUGAGAGAGGUUGUUAACCUUAUCCCUUACCAUCUGAACUGGGUAAUGCCAGCGUAGAGAGUGCAAAUAGGAUUUUUU
RNAcentral lists this non-coding RNA (102 nucleotides) under Coprobacillus sp. RNAcentral describes it as "TPP sequence". It matches the Rfam family "TPP riboswitch aptamer (THI element)". Rfam says of the family: Vitamin B(1) in its active form thiamin pyrophosphate (TPP) is an essential coenzyme that is synthesised by coupling of pyrimidine and thiazole moieties in bacteria. The previously detected thiamin-regulatory element, thi box was extended, resulting in a new, highly conserved RNA secondary structure, the THI element, which is widely distributed in eubacteria and also occurs in some archaea. Lineage: Bacteria; Bacillati; Bacillota; Erysipelotrichia; Erysipelotrichales; Coprobacillaceae. The record is from RNAcentral.